Perca fluviatilis (European perch) is the source of this 891-nucleotide long non-coding RNA. RefSeq lists it as uncharacterized. The record is from RefSeq and is a predicted model, not a curated record. The transcript is spliced from 3 exons. NCBI's taxonomy places the organism in Eukaryota, Metazoa, Chordata, Actinopteri, Perciformes, Percidae.
GAUCGGGUACUGACAGCACCGUCCGAACAGCUAAAGCAAAUGUUCUCAUUUUACAGCUGAACAGUAGGCCUACACUAAAAUGUGUUUCUGAAUACAAUUGAGCAUCGCCUGUUUCUCGCCUGUGGACAGUGCUUGUUUUAGGCUGUUGCUCAACAGAAUCUUAUGGAAGCCUAUUUCCGCCACUGAAAAAUAAAAAAUGUGAUGAAAACCUUGUCUUGAUAAUAAAAAUAUAUCCUUGGUCAGUCGAAAUUAUCAGAUAAGAUUUGCGCAUGCGACAGUCUCACUGGCGCUGUCUUCAAACGGAGACGGUUAGGUUUUCAAACAGGUAACUUCGGUCCAGUCUGCGCAAAUGGAGCUGGGUCCAGUACUUCGGUCGUCUGUCCCUGGCUGGUCCCUGGCUUCACCUUUCUGGCCUAACCAUUCAAAUGACAUGCUGCAAUUCUAGCCUGCACACAUAGUUCUUUAAUCAAGAGCUUGUAAGUGUUAUUACAACUACAAUAUGCUAGCUAACUUACUAGCUACAUGUAACGUAGCUAACGUUAUAGUGCCGUAAAGACCAGCUGCUAACGUUAUAUUGAUUUGAAAAGUUAUGCCGAUAACGUUGACGUGUCGUAUCUGUGCAGAGGAUUUUUGAACUGUCACAAGAUGGAUGAGCUAAGUGACUACUUAAGGUCACGGCAUGUGCCUGAGGGAGAUUUUCAGCGAAUGGAACAAGAUAAGAUUGAUGCCAGUGUCAUACACCUCAUGACAGAUGACCAGCUAAAAGAGUAUCUUCCAUCCUAUGGUGAUCGACUGGCUGUUUUUGGAUACUGCAGACGGAAGGAAAAAGAACCUUGCAGUCGCAAGUCAAAGAUCUUUGAGCGACUCAGAGGAAAGCUCUCGAGAAACAAA